Molecule: long non-coding RNA, 2030 nt
Organism: Orcinus orca (killer whale)
Lineage: Eukaryota; Metazoa; Chordata; Mammalia; Artiodactyla; Delphinidae
Exons: 3
Source: RefSeq, a predicted model, not a curated record
GGCCUGCAGGAAGCCCUUUGAGGAUGAAACCUUGAGAGAUGGCCAGGUUUAAGAAUAACCUGGAGAAGAAGAGACAUGGACAGGUUGAUUAGAGGGGACAAUUUACAAAGAAGUGUGAAGGGAAGAGGAAGACCACAAAGGAAUAAUGCAAGUGUCCAGAGCUGGAAGCAGUAGAAGCUGUUAUCACCCCUACGCCCAAAGGACAAGAGGACAGAGAGGUUGCCGGAACUCUGAAGGUGCCUGAUAAAAUUCAUCAGUGAAGCCAUCUGAGCCUGGAGUCUUCUCUGAGGCAAGAUUUUAAAUUACUAAUUCAAUUUCAUUAGUAGGUAUAAGAUUAUUUGGGUUUUCUAUUUCUUGGUAUGUCAGUUUGACAAAUUGUGUCUUUCAAGGAAGUUGUCUAUUUCAUCUAAGUUGUCAGAGUUAUAGACAUAACUUGUUUAUGGUAUCUCCUUAUUAUCCUUUAAUGUCUGUAGGCUCUAUAGUUGUGCUCCCUCUUUUAUUCCUAAUGUUGUUAAUUUGUACUUUCUCUUUUUUUCAUUGAUCUUUUCAAAGAACCAACUUUUGGUUUCUUUAAUAUUCUGUUUUUGUCUUUUUGUUUCAUUGAUUUUUUGUUUUUAUUUACUUAUUUGGUUGUGUUGGGUCUUAGUUGUGGCAUGCAAGAUCUUUUUUUAGUUGUGGCAUGUGGGAUCUAGUUCCCUGACCAGGGACUGAACCCGGGACCGCUGCAUUGGGAGUGCGGAGUCUUAGCCACUGGACCAUCAGGGAGGUCCCUGUUUCACUGAUUUCUGCUCUUAUCUUUCUUCUUUCUUUCUUACUGCUCGCUGUGAGUUUAAUUUGCUCUUAUUUUUCUAAUCCUUUUUCCCCAGCUUUAUUGAGAUAAUUGACAUAUUGUGUAAAUUUAAGGUGUACACUAUUUUAAAAUUUUUGUAAGGUCAAAACUUUAAUCAUUGAUUUUAGACCUUUUUUUUCACACUAAGUACCACUUAGCAAACAAAUUUUGAUAUGUUGAGUUUUCAUUAUCAUUCAGUUCAAAAUAUUUUCUUUCCCUUGUGAUUUCUUCAAUUCAUGGGUUAUUCAGACAUGUGCUGUUUAAUUUCAGAAUAUUUGGUGCUUUUCUAUUUAUCUUAUUGUUAUUAUUUCUCAUUAAAGUCCAUUGUGAUCACAGAAUACACUCUGUAAGAUUUCAGUCUUUUGAUAUUUAUUGAGACUUCUUUCAUGGCCCAGGAUAUGAUCUGUCUUGGUGAACAUUCCUUAUGUACUUGAAAAGAAUGUAUAGUUUGAAGCUGUUGGGUGCAUUAUUCUAUAAAUGUCAGCUAAGUUAUAGUGCUGAUAAUGUUUUUCAAAUCUUCUAUAGACUUACUGAUUUUUUUGGUUGUUUGUUCUAUUCAUAACUAGAAAAGUACUUAAAAAUCUAUAACUAUGUUUAUGGAUUUGUCUAUUUCUCUCUUCAGUUCUAUCAGUUUUUGCUCCAUGUAUUUUGAAGUUCUACAUAUAUAAUUAUUAUGUACCACAGCAAUGCAUAAUAUCAUUAUGAAAUGUCCCUCUCUGCCUCUUAUAAAACUUUUCUUGAAUUCUGUUAUUUUAUUAAUAUAGCCACACUAGCUGUCUUAUGUUUAUGGUUUGCCAGAUAUACAUUUUUUGAUACUUUUAUUCUAGUUAUGUUUCUGUAUUUAAAGUGUCUCUCUUACAGACAGCAAAUAAUUGGGUCUUGCUUUUUAAAUUCAGUCUGACAGUCUAACAAUCUCUGCUUUUUCCCCCCUUUAUAAAUUCAUUUAUUUAUUUAUUUUUGGCUGUGUUGGGUCUUUGUUGCUGUCAGCAGGCUUUCUCUAGUUGUGGCGAGCGGGGGCUACUCUUUGUUGCGGUGCGUGGGCUUCUCAUUGCGGUGGCUUCUCUUGUUGUGGAGCAUGGGCUCUAGGCGCGCAGGCUUCAGUAGAUGUGGCACGCGAGCUCAGUAGUUGUAGCUUGCGGGCUCUAGAGCUCAGGCUCAUUAGCUGUCAUGCAUGGGCUUAGUUGCUCCGCAGCAUGUGGGA